Molecule: ribosomal RNA, 261 nt
Filed under: uncultured bacterium
Lineage: Bacteria
Description: partial 16S ribosomal RNA
Rfam family: Bacterial small subunit ribosomal RNA
Source: RNAcentral
UGGCGGACGGGUGAGUAACGCGUGGGGAACCUGCCCUGUACCGGGGGAUAGCAGCCGGAAACGGCUGAUAAUACCGCAUAAGCGCACGAAUGUCGCAUGACAUGGUGUGAAAAACUCCGGUGGUAUAGGAUGGACCCGCGUCUGAUUAGCCGGUUGGUGGGGUAAAAGCCUACCAAAGCGAAGAUCAGUAGCCGAGUUGAGAGACUGACCGGCCACAUUGGGACUGAGACACGGCCCAGACUCCUACGGGAGGCAGCAGUC